UGCGGAAGGAUCAUUACCUAGAGUUGUAGGCUUUGCCUGCUAUCUCUUACCCAUGUCUUUUGAGUACCUUACGUUUCCUCGGUGGGUUCGCCCACCGAUUGGACAAACUUAAACCCUUUGCAGUUGAAAUCAGCGUCUGAAAAAACUUAAUAGUUACAACUUUCAACAACGGAUCUCUUGGUUCUGGCAUCGAUGAAGAACGCAGCGAAAUGCGAUAAGUAGUGUGAAUUGCAGAAUUCAGUGAAUCAUCGAAUCUUUGAACGCACAUUGCGCCCCUUGGUAUUCCAUGGGGCAUGCCUGUUCGAGCGUCAUUUGUACCUUCAAGCUCUGCUUGGUGUUGGGUGUUUGUCUCCUGUAGACUCGCCUCAAAACAAUUGGCAGCCGGCGUAUUGAUUUCGGAGCGCAGUACAUCUCGCGCUUUGCACUCAUAACGACGACGUCCAAAAGUACAUUUUUACACUCUUGACCUCGGAUCAGGUAGGGAUACCCGCUGAACUUAAGCAUAUCAAUA
Molecule: ribosomal RNA, 511 nt
Filed under: Leptosphaeria spegazzinii
Lineage: Eukaryota; Fungi; Ascomycota; Dothideomycetes; Pleosporales; Leptosphaeriaceae
Description: eukaryotic LSU rRNA
Rfam family: 5.8S ribosomal RNA (bases 158-311)
Source: RNAcentral